This 442-nucleotide ribosomal RNA is filed under the name uncultured bacterium. RNAcentral describes it as "bacterial SSU rRNA". It matches the Rfam family "Bacterial small subunit ribosomal RNA", at positions 958 to 1398 of the family's 1533-position model. The record is from RNAcentral.
AACGCGAAGAACCUUACCUACUCUUGACAUCCACGGAACCUGGUAGAGAUACUGGGGUGCCUUCGGGAACCGUGAGACAGGUGCUGCAUGGCUGUCGUCAGCUCGUGUCGUGAGAUGUUGGGUUAAGUCCCGUAACGAGCGCAACCCUUAUCCUUAGUUGCCAGCGAGUAAAGUCGGGAACUCUAGGGAGACUGCCGGUGACAAGCCGGAGGAAGGUGGGGACGACGUCAAGUCAUCAUGGCCCUUACGAGUAGGGCUACACGCGUGUUACAAUGGACGGUACAAAGGGCAGCGAACCCGCGAGGGGGAGCGAAUCUUAUCAAAGCCGUUCGUAGUCCGGAUUGGAGUCUGCAACUCGACUCCAUGAAGUUGGAAUCGCUAGUAAUCGUGGAUCAGAACGCCACGGUGAAUACGUUCUCGGGCCUUGUACACACCGGAGUGC